UACGGAGGGUGCAAGCGUUAUCCGGAUUUACUGGGUUUAAAGGGUGUGUAGGCGGACUAUUAAGUCAGUGGUGAAAUCCCGAGGCUCAACCUCGGAACUGCCUUUGAUACUAUUAGUCUUGAAUGUUGUUGAGGUGGGCGGAACGGGUCAUGUAGCGGUGAAAUGCAUAGAUAUGACCCGGCACACCGAUUGCGAAGGCAGCCCGCUAAGCAACUAUUGACGCUGAGGCACGAAAGCGUGGGGAUCAAACAGG
This 253-nucleotide ribosomal RNA is filed under the name uncultured bacterium. Its description in RNAcentral is "partial 16S ribosomal RNA". It matches the Rfam family "Bacterial small subunit ribosomal RNA", at positions 524 to 776 of the family's 1533-position model. The record is from RNAcentral.